CUCACCCACCACCGCCUUCCCACUUCUGCUCCGUUCCUCCUCCUCAUCCUCAUCAUGUCCCGCAAGAUUACUACACUGCUGCCGGACUUCCGAUGCAGGCUCUUCCUCCUCCUCAUACUCCGCCGACGUCCCACCAUCACCUCCACCACCACCACCACCCCCACCCACAAAUCCAGCUCUACAAGGCUUCGCCGUCGUCGCAGGCACACAGCUCCGGCCAGGAUUCGGACGACAGGGCAGGCGGGGGCAGGUCGGAGAGCAUCGAAGAUGGGAAGUCCGAGAGCGGGAGCUGGAAAGCAGGGGAGAGCGGAGACAAUGCCGUCGGCGAUGGAGGAGAGAGAA
Molecule: long non-coding RNA, 342 nt
Filed under: Linum usitatissimum (flax)
Lineage: Eukaryota; Viridiplantae; Streptophyta; Magnoliopsida; Malpighiales; Linaceae
Description: long non-coding RNA (LUSI_LNC001162)
Source: RNAcentral